Molecule: long non-coding RNA, 855 nt
Filed under: Macaca nemestrina (pig-tailed macaque)
Lineage: Eukaryota; Metazoa; Chordata; Mammalia; Primates; Cercopithecidae
Description: lncRNA (ENSMNEG00000045993.1)
Source: RNAcentral
AUCGGUAAUGCUUUAAUAGCUCUGCUUAGUAAGUGGAGUAUUGGGUGUUAUUUCGAAGUCAAAAACCCUAUCUUGGUUGAUUUACCCUAUAACCUGGAUUUUCGAGAGGCAGCAGAAUGGAAUUGUCUCAAAGUACUGACUUUUCAUUAUUUUCCACGCAGAUCCCUGAGGAUAAGAGAAGGAAAGGUUUUGUCUCGGGGAGGGUAGGCUUCUCCUAAAAAGAGAAUUCUGGAAGUCAACAUAAUUAAACAAAGAGGAAAAUGUGCCAGACAGGAGUGGGUGGGGGCUGUUUUCUCUUUGUGGUUGGUUGUGGUGCGUUCAAGAUUCCUCGCCUAAGAUGAGGUUCCUGAGCUUCCAGUAGCCGACUGACUGCCCGAGAGACCCAGGGCUCCGCGAGGCGACGGCGCAGGUGUCGAGGCUCCCUGCAGGUGUAAUUACUAUUAUCAGCAUCUAUAAAGCAUCAUGCAUUUGCUGGAGUACUUCCUAGCACUGACCUCCUUCCUUCUGCGUUGUUCUUACUGGAUCUUUCUAUCAGCCAACAAUAUGGAAGUACCAAUACAAGGUCAAAUCAUUCCUGGAUUCAUCUGGAGUUACUUAACAGUUAAAUCAUUGGAAGUUUUGGUGAUACCUUUUCUAUAUGGAUUACAAUUUGAUCUCUGGGAAUUCUCCACCGUAAAAAAGACUCUUGCUAUUUGGAAGCCCAUGCCCACCUCUGACUUCCACUCAAAAUUGCUUUCCUCACAGUCUGACUGCGAGAGUUGUGAAACAUUGGGAUGUGCUUCUGAGGUGGGCUGUGGAAUGCCAUGUAAGUUGCUACUAUUUUUUCUGAAGGCGAUGGGUUUUCGUGCGCAGUAG